RNAcentral lists this transfer RNA (77 nucleotides) under Pseudomonadota bacterium. Its description in RNAcentral is "tRNA-Arg". It matches the Rfam family "tRNA". Rfam says of the family: Transfer RNA (tRNA) molecules are approximately 80 nucleotides in length. Their secondary structure includes four short double-helical elements and three loops (D, anti-codon, and T loops). Lineage: Bacteria; Pseudomonadati; Pseudomonadota. RNAcentral also lists the same sequence under 1 other name. The record is from RNAcentral.
GCGCCCGUAGCUCAACUGGAUAGAGCACCAGACUACGGAUCUGGGGGUUGUGGGUUCAAAUCCUGCCGGGCGCGCCA